CCUACGGGUGGCAGCAGUGAGGAAUAUUGGUCAAUGGACGCAAGUCUGAACCAGCCAUGUAGCGUGAAGGAUGACUGCCCUAUGAGUUGUAAACUUCUUUUGUAAGGGAGUAAAACGAGGCACGUGUGCCUUUUUGCAUGUACUGUAUGAAUAAGGAUCGGCUAACUCCGUGCCAGCAGCCGCGGUAAUACGGAGGAUCCAAGCGUUAUCCGGAUUUAUUGGGUUUAAAGGGAGCGUAGAUGGGUUGUUAAGUCAGUGGUGAAAGUUUGCGGCUCAACCGUAAAAUUGCAAUUGAUACUGGCAGGCUUGAGUACAGUUGAGGUAGGCGGAAUGCGUGGUGUAGCGGUGAAAUGCUUAGAGAUCAUGCAGAACCCCGAUUGCGAAGGCAGCUUACUAAACUGCGACUGACAUUGAGGCUCGAAAGUGUGGGGAGCAAACAGGAUUAGAUACCCUGGUAGUC
Molecule: ribosomal RNA, 460 nt
Filed under: uncultured bacterium
Lineage: Bacteria
Description: partial 16S ribosomal RNA
Rfam family: Bacterial small subunit ribosomal RNA
Source: RNAcentral